This is a non-coding RNA of Leptonychotes weddellii (Weddell seal), 340 nucleotides long. NCBI's taxonomy places the organism in Eukaryota, Metazoa, Chordata, Mammalia, Carnivora, Phocidae. The record is from RefSeq and is a predicted model, not a curated record.
UGGGGAGCUGAAGGGAAUGAGGCUGGCAAACAGAGCAGUCACCGCUUUGUCUCCAUCUCCUGACUCUGCCUUCCUGUGCUUAGUCUUCAUCUUCAGGUGGUCCCUUCCAGCCUGUGGGGAAGAAGUUCCGGCCACUGAAGGCCUGCUGUUCCAGCACUGGCCAGAGGCGGCACUGGUAGGCUGGGUAAACCACCAGAUCGAGGCAUGUGGGAGAUGCUGAACGGUCAAAGGCACACAGGACACCUUCCCUGCAGCCAGGUACUGAGCCUGAGGUACAUCAUUCCGUCCCUACCACCCUGUGAAGGAGAGACACAGCGAGAGAAGAAACACAAGCAGGGGG